CAGCAGCCGCGGUAAUACGAACCGUGCGAACGUUAUUCGGAAUCACUGGGCUUAAAGCGCGUGUAGGCGGGCCGCCGCGUCGACUGCUGAAAUCCCCCGGCUCAACCGGGGAACGGGCAUCGAUACGGGCGGCCUCGAGGGGGGUAGGGGGACCUGGAACUUCCGGUGGAGCGGUGAAAUGCGUUGAGAUCGGAAGGAACGCCCGUGGCGAAAGCGAGGUCCUGGACCCUUUCUGACGCUGAGACGCGAAAGCCAGGGGAGCGAACGGGAUUAGAUACCCCGGUAGUCCCUGUCUCUUAUA
RNAcentral lists this ribosomal RNA (301 nucleotides) under uncultured bacterium. RNAcentral describes it as "partial 16S ribosomal RNA". It matches the Rfam family "Bacterial small subunit ribosomal RNA", at positions 509 to 807 of the family's 1533-position model. The record is from RNAcentral.